Molecule: long non-coding RNA, 1400 nt
Organism: Brassica napus (rape)
Lineage: Eukaryota; Viridiplantae; Streptophyta; Magnoliopsida; Brassicales; Brassicaceae
Exons: 2
Source: RefSeq, a predicted model, not a curated record
ACUAUCCAUAGAUGCUUUGAAGUUGGAUACAUAGUUUAAUAAAAUAUUUAUUUUGUAUAUUUUGGAUUUUAUGUAGAAAGUAAUUUUCUGUUAUAUAUUCCAUCCGUAUAAUUUUAACCGUCGUUUUACGCGCACAUAUUAAUAAAAUAUUUAGUUUGCAUAUUUUCUAAAUAAAAAAAAUUAUUAACUAUGUACAUAAUCAUAUUUUAACCAAUAUAAAAUAAACAUGAACUACCAAACUACUAUUCCCUAAUUACAAAUCCAAAUCUUUAAAUCGGAGCUCAUACUGCAUGAUCCAAGCCCAAGAAACAACCGAUAACAUCAGAAUUAGAAAUAAGCUUGAGGAAGCAAUUAUCCCCGCGCUAUACUGGCUAACUGAAGGAAGACCAAAUCCUAUAUUUCUACCAGAUCAUACCCCAAAGGCCUAUUUGAGCCAAAUACUCUUGAACCUUGGAGAAUGUUUUGCGUUAUUUAAUAUAAAAAUGGGUAAUUGCACUGGAUAUACACGAUUGAAACAUUAUUUAGCUAACUGAACAAUGCACUGUUAAUAAAAUUAUAAUCUCAAACUUUAUCCCUAUCACACUACUUCUGACAGUUGUAUUUGCACAUCAUAUUAUUGUUUAAAAAAAUUAUUUCAUUUUCCUCUAUUUCCUCUCUCUUAUGGAUCAAAAGACGGAACAAUGAUUCUCUUUUUCAAGAAAUUAGUAAACUGAAGUCUAAGCUUAACGGAUAAGAAGAAGAGGAGGAAGAGAACAACGCCGUGAUGAUGGAGAGUGAAUCGGUCAAGGAGGAAGAAGUUUUGUUGCCCGGGGGAAACGAGUAACGCGCCACUACGCCGGAGCUUCCAAUCAUAGUUCAUCUCUGACGCGCCGUCAUCGAAGUCGUCGCUGAAGUUAGGAUUUUUCCCGAUUGAUGUGAGAUCUUUGUUUGUCGAUGGAGGUUCUCCGGGACCUGCAUCCUCCAGUGCGACCUACGCUCAUGCGGGUGGAUUGAUGAGAGACGCAUAGAUCCUCAGUGUAAGAAGACGAGCUCCAAUCACAACUGUGGCGGUUAGGUGGGGUCAGUUAUCAAUCAGUUAUCAAUGAAUUUGGUAAUUUUGUUGAAGGUUCACAAGGAUUUUGGUUGAUUUGGGUGCUUGGUAUCUCUGUAUCUGUUGGUUUUAAUUUUGUGUUCCAUAUUUUAUUCUGAAUUUAUCUUGUUGUUCAUCUUGUUCUUUGUUAGUUUGAUUCCUUGUGGUAGGGCUGUAGUUUCUAGGAAACUUUUAUUUCGCCGGUUUUCUUUCCGGUGACGUUAAUAUAUGAUCAGCCGGCUUAAUGUUGUGAUCCAUGUAUCCCUACCUUUGUAUCUUGCUUUGGUUAGAAAGACAGUGUUUAAAAAAAAAUAUUUAUCCUUUUUCCAAA